This 468-nucleotide ribosomal RNA is filed under the name Fructobacillus fructosus. RNAcentral's name for it is "bacterial SSU rRNA". It matches the Rfam family "Bacterial small subunit ribosomal RNA", at positions 11 to 467 of the family's 1533-position model. Lineage: Bacteria; Bacillati; Bacillota; Bacilli; Lactobacillales; Lactobacillaceae. The record is from RNAcentral.
GUUUGAUCCUGGCUCAGGAUGAACGCUGGCGGCGUGCCUAAUACAUGCAAGUCGUACGAACAGCGGAAAGUGCUUGCACUUUCCAAGUAAGUGGCGAACGGGUGAGUAACACGUGAAUAACCUACCUCAAAGUCUGGGAUAACCAUUGGAAACAGUGACUAAUACCGGAUAAAACCCAAGUGCACAUGCACUAAGGUUAAAAGCUGCGUUUGCAGCGCUUUAAGAUGGAUUCGCGGUGCAUUAGUUAGUUGGUGAGGUAAAGGCUCACCAAGACGAUGAUGCAUAGCCGAGUUGAGAGACUGACCGGCCACAUUGGGACUGAGACACGGCCCAAACUCCUACGGGAGGCUGCAGUAGGGAAUCUUCCACAAUGGGCGCAAGCCUGAUGGAGCAACGCCGCGUGUGUGAUGAAGGCUUUCGGGUCGUAAAGCACUGUUGUAUGGGAAGAACGGGUUUAAGAGGAAAUGC